AACGAACGCUGGCGGCAUGCCUAACACAUGCAAGUCGAACGAGACCUUCGGGUCUAGUGGCGCACGGGUGCGUAACGCGUGGGAACCUGCCCUUAGGUUCGGAAUAACUCCCCGAAAGGGGUGCUAAUACCGGAUAAUGUCUUCGGACCAAAGAUUUAUCGCCUUUGGAUGGGCCCGCGUUGGAUUAGCUAGUUGGUAGGGUAAAAGCCUACCAAGGCGACGAUCCAUAGCUGGUCUGAGAGGAUGAUCAGCCACACUGGGACUGAGACACGGCCCAGACUCCUACGGGAGGCAGCAGUGGGGAAUAUUGGACAAUGGGCGAAAGGCUGAUCCAGCAAUGCCGGGUGAGUGAUGAAGGCAUUAGGGUUGUAAAGCUCUUUUACCCGGGAUGAUAAUGACAGUACCGGGAGAAUAAGCUCCGGCUAACUCCGUG
RNAcentral lists this ribosomal RNA (433 nucleotides) under uncultured bacterium. Its description in RNAcentral is "partial 16S ribosomal RNA". It matches the Rfam family "Bacterial small subunit ribosomal RNA", at positions 29 to 507 of the family's 1533-position model. The record is from RNAcentral.